CACACCACCAUGCCCAGAUAAUUUGUGUAUUUUUAGUAGAUACAGAGUUUCACCAUCUUGGCCAGGAUGGUCUCCAUCCCCUGACCUCAUGAUCCACCCGCCUCGGCCUCCUAAAGUUCUGGGAUUACAGGUGUGAGCCACCGUGCCUAGCCAAAUUGUAUCUCUUUUUUUUUUUUUAAUUUUGCUUGUCAUCCUUUAAUGUGUAUGUCAUGAGCCAAAAACAAUCUUAAGGACUAUGGAGUAAUAGGAUUCAGGCAUAUCAAAUGUCCGAUGUACAUGCCACCAUUUAUGAAGAUUUUUAUCUUCUCCACAAAGCUGUUUGGUUUCUGGAAGAAGGGGAGGGUAUUUGAGCCUCUGUGACUUACACAUGGACAAGUAGAAAAGAGGGCAUAUUACAAGAGUGUACUAAAUAAAUACAUGGUUUAAAUAGUCCUUAUAGAGUUUGACCUGGUGAAUAUACAAAGUGAAUCAGAAGGGGAAGGUAAGAGAUGAGGUGGAAAGACUGUAGGCAGCAUAGUUAGUGGUUCAGAGCAAGGACCCUGGAGCCAGACUAACCAGCUUGAAUCUUGAUUCUGAUCCUUUGCUAGCUGUGGUAUCUUGAGAAUUUACUUUCUUUGCCUUGGUUUCUUCAUUAAUAAAAUGAGAAUAAUAAUUGUAUAUACCACAUUUUUAAUAGGAUUAAGUGAAUUGGUAUUUAUAAAAUGAUUAGACUAGUGUGUGGCCCCUACUAACUACAUGUUUAUUCAAUCAAUCAACCAAUAUAAUAAUUAGUGGGAUAUUAUAGUAGUAUUGAUGACUUGAACUUAAAUGAUGACAAUGGAAUGAGAAGUUGGGGGAACUUUUUGGACUUUUUUGAAUUAAUGAAUUCUAGCUUUCCAUCCAUGAAAUUGAUAUGGUUAUAAGAGCCUCUAAAAACUUUCCCUUCUAUGUGUCAGAUUAUAGGCUUAUUUUAUCUUUAUGACAUCCAGACAGGGAGCGUACAAUUUGAUGGGGUGUCUGUCCAUCUUGGUUCCCUUGAGUUCCCUUUUCUUAUAACAUAGGUAUUGUGGGAAAAUGUGGUCUUUGUGCCAAAUUGUUUAAAAGAAACGUUUGAGCCAAGAACAUUGUAAAAUUUCAGAAAAUAUUACAAAUCUUCAUGCCUGAAAUAAAGUAAUCGCAGUUAAUACAGAUAUAAAGCUACAUAGUUACCAUGUUUCCAGGAUAGCCAAUAAGAAAUUCUAGUGAUUGUGGGCUGGGCACAGUGGCUCAUGCCUGUAAUCCCAGCACUUUGGGAGGCUGAGGUGGGUGGAUCACGAGGUCAGGAAAUCCAAACUAUCCUGGCUAACAUGCUGAAACCCCGUCUCUACUAAAAAUACAAAAAAAUUAGCCAGGCGUGGUGGUGGGUGCCUGUAGUCCCAGCUACUCAGGAGGCCGAGGCAGU
RNAcentral lists this long non-coding RNA (1420 nucleotides) under Homo sapiens (human). RNAcentral describes it as "HSALNT0137474". Lineage: Eukaryota; Metazoa; Chordata; Mammalia; Primates; Hominidae. The record is from RNAcentral.